UACGUAGGGUGCAAGCGUUGUCCGGAAUUAUUGGGCGUAAAGAGCUCGUAGGCGGCCUGUCGCGUCGACCGUGAAAACCCGCAGCUCAACUGCGGGCUUGCGGUCGAUACGGGCAGGCUGGAGUUCGGUAGGGGAGACUGGAAUUCCUGGUGUAGCGGUGAAAUGCGCAGAUAUCAGGAGGAACACCGGUGGCGAAGGCGGCCAUCUGGACCGCAACUGACGCUGAGGCGCGAAAGCGUGGGGAGCAAACAGG
This 253-nucleotide ribosomal RNA is filed under the name uncultured bacterium. RNAcentral's name for it is "partial 16S ribosomal RNA". It matches the Rfam family "Bacterial small subunit ribosomal RNA", at positions 524 to 776 of the family's 1533-position model. The record is from RNAcentral.